Molecule: ribosomal RNA, 330 nt
Filed under: uncultured eukaryote
Lineage: Eukaryota
Description: partial 18S ribosomal RNA
Rfam family: Eukaryotic small subunit ribosomal RNA
Source: RNAcentral
CCCUUAGAUGUUCUGGGCUGCACGCGCGCUACACUGUCGGAUUCAGCGAGUCAUAUCCUUAACCGAAAGGUUUGGGUAAUCUUUUGAAAGUCCGACGUGAUGGGGAUCGAUCAUUGCAAUUAUUGAUCAUGAACGAGGAAUUCCUAGUAAGUGCAAGUCAUCAGCUUGCGCUGAUUACGUCCCUGCCCUUUGUACACACCGCCCGUCGCUACUACCGAUUGAAUGGUUUAGUGAGAUCUCUGGAUUGACGCUGGCUAGGGGGCGACCCUUGGCCAGACUGUUGAGAAACUGCUCAAACUUGAUCAUUUAGAGGAAGUAAAAGUCGUAACA